This 141-nucleotide small RNA is filed under the name Flaviramulus basaltis. RNAcentral's name for it is "Flavo-1 RNA". It matches the Rfam family "Flavo-1 RNA". The record is from RNAcentral. Lineage: Bacteria; Pseudomonadati; Bacteroidota; Flavobacteriia; Flavobacteriales; Flavobacteriaceae.
UUGCGUUAGGGAUUGAAGUGAAAAUCCUUUUUAAUAUUAUGAUUAAUAAAGGUUAUUAAAGAACUAUAAAUUAGAAAAUAACAUCGUCUUCCUUCCUUGAAAUGACGUUUAAAAAGAUUGUAAUGAAAAGCCCGACCUAAA